This 60-nucleotide transfer RNA is filed under the name Pteridium aquilinum subsp. aquilinum. RNAcentral describes it as "partial tRNA-Leu". The record is from RNAcentral. Lineage: Eukaryota; Viridiplantae; Streptophyta; Polypodiopsida; Polypodiales; Dennstaedtiaceae.
GGUAGACGCUACGGACUCAAAAUCCGUUGGUUCCAAAGGACCGUGAGGGUUCAAGUCCCU